GACGAACGCUGGCGGCGUGCUUAACACAUGCAAGUCGAACGGAAAGGCCCUGCUUUUGUGGGGUGCUCGAGUGGCGAACGGGUGAGUAACACGUGAGUAACCUGCCCUUGACUUUGGGAUAACUUCAGGAAACUGGGGCUAAUACCGGAUAGGAGCUCCUGCUGCAUGGUGGGGGUUGGAAAGUUUCGGCGGUUGGGGAUGGACUCGCGGCUUAUCAGCUUGUUGGUGGGGUAGUGGCUUACCAAGGCUUUGACGGGUAGCCGGCCUGAGAGGGUGACCGGCCAAAUUGGGACUGAGAUACGGCCCAGACUCCUACGGGAGGCAGCAGUGGGGAAUAUUGCACAAUGGGCGGAAGCCUGAUGCAGCAACGCCGCGUGCGGGAUGACGGCCUUCGGGUUGUAAACCGCUUUCGCCUGUGACGAAGCGUGAGUGACGGUAAUGGGUAAAGAAGCACCGGCUAACUACGCG
This 468-nucleotide ribosomal RNA is filed under the name uncultured bacterium. RNAcentral's name for it is "partial 16S ribosomal RNA". It matches the Rfam family "Bacterial small subunit ribosomal RNA", at positions 28 to 507 of the family's 1533-position model. The record is from RNAcentral.